UCAGCCCAUUGUCUCCUGCUGUGUUGGUCGCAGGAUGGCUGAAAGUGGAUGACUAAUCCCAGUUUGUGUCUUUGCACCAGGAGUUUGAAAACACUGAGGGAGAGGAGUACCAGGCAGAUCUCUCAGCCCUUGCCUCGCCUUACUCCCAGAUUGGCCCUGAGGUGUACAUCCUUCCCCUUACUGAGGUCUCCCUGCAUGUCUCCAAGCAACCUGGCAGAUCCAGUCAGCCUGUUAAAAUGUGUAUGUUCGCGUAUGUAGUGUGUGCAAAUCUCCACAUAAGCCAGAUACCAAGUUCUCACAGUGCCUCUCCCUGCAUGACUCACUGGCUGUCUGUGCUCAGCAAGAAGGGAGGUGAGUUGGGGCUCAGCUUCCCAGGAUGUGAGCUUGAAUAAUGAUUGGACGAGGCAGCCCCAAUCUCAUAACCAAUCACUAUCCUCCCCUCUGUCCUCCAUAGCUACUGCUGUAUGAUUGGUCCAGGUGUUGCAGGGCGAGGAAUGGACAAAUGGUAAAAACAGACGAGACUGCGAAAGAGGCAAAAUGUCUCCUUUCAGUCAUUCAUAAGGAGAGUUGACUGCUAGUCAUUCUGCUCUAAACGCAGUAAAAUGCACUGGUUGUAUUAUCUUCUUUAUAACUUUUAAUUUGCUUUUGUAUGACAAUUUAUCAUUAAUAAGGGCAGUAAUGUGACAAAACUGAGACAUUUGUGUGAACAUCAAGUACGUCAUAAGUCAUCCAGCCCCAUACUAUCAAUCUUGAAUGGUGCUUUCUAUAUGGGCCAAACUCACACACUGACGAACAUACAGCACAAUAUUUGCCAUUGAUGUUUUUCACUUGUUUCUCUAAUCUUUUAUUCAAGAGGUCAUGUAAAGCUUUCAAGCCCACUACAGAGGCCCAACGCAUCAAACUGACUGUGUGAAGCAAUUGUGUGUGUAUUUGUGUGUGUCAUUCCACGGGCCCACCAACCCUGCAGUCCCACCGGACACCGCCACCUUCUCUGGGAAUGCCAUGAGUAGGACGGGAAUGCACACUCACGCUCACACAUUCCACAUUUGGAAUAAUAACACAUCUUAAUUUCCAUCUCUCUCUCUCUGUCCAUCAGGGAGGGGUGGUGGAGGCUAGAGGGUUGGGUGGAGAAGUGCUCUGUUAUCACCGUGACAACCUCUGCCCAGUGUUCCAGUGGAUAAUAGAACUUGUGUGUUUCUCCUUAUGAGUGUGUGUGUGUGUGUGUGUGUGUGUGUGCACGCUUGGUGCACUGGGUACCAGGAGCACAGCAUGAGUGAGUGAGUGAGUGAGCGAACCAAACAAUGCCUCUGAUUUAGGCCGGCUGGGCAGUGGGUGAGCAUAAGGCUGGGCUGAAACGUCCGUGGAACGCACCAGCGGAGGAAUGGCAUUAUGGGAAGAAUACAGUGAGGGGUCUGUAACAGAAUGAGGAGAGACAAGGGAAGGGUGGUGGCAUGCACCAGGACCUAAGAGCAGGGAGGGGAGGUUUCAGAUUAGGGUGGUGAGUGUGUAUGACAGAGGUCUUUUUUGCAUCUGACAGAGCAGUGUUUGUGUCCUGUUUGGCUGAGGAAUGCUGCUGUCCAGGGUGACAGGGGGGCAUUAUGUAGGCCUUAUGUCACUACUGGGUGUCUUGAAGCUGCAUGCAGAGCUGGCGUAUCAAACGGCACACUACCAACAUGCGUGACGGUCACAUCAGGCGUUAUACAUGACCAGAAAAUCUUGACGCCUUGCAAUCGUCCUCAGGACUCCUGCGUCGACCCAUCAGCAGAUCGGUCCAGUGACUCGAAGCAGGGCUAAGUUUCUUCCUUGCUCUGUUUACUGUCGGUUUCAAUGCAGCCUGUAUAGGAACCAAGGAUUUCGUUGUUUGUCUUACAGCUGGAGGGCUCUAGAUGAGGACAGUAUGUGUGUGUUUGUGUGUCCCAGUUGGAGGAUGAGCUCUGAGCAGACGGGGAAAGGCAGCAUGGCAAGCUUGUUCAGCUGUGCGAGGGCUCGGAGGGUUAAAUCCUGCCGAGGCUCUCUCUCUCUCAUGCUCUCACACACACACAGCGAUCGUGGG
Molecule: long non-coding RNA, 2053 nt
Filed under: Echeneis naucrates (live sharksucker)
Lineage: Eukaryota; Metazoa; Chordata; Actinopteri; Carangiformes; Echeneidae
Description: lncRNA (ENSENLG00000007127.1)
Source: RNAcentral